UACGAAGGGGGCUAGCGUUGCUCGGAAUCACUGGGCGUAAAGCGCACGUAGGCGGAUUGCUAAGUCAGGGGUGAAAUCCUGGAGCUCAACUCCAGAACUGCCUUUGAUACUGGCGAUCUUGAGACCGGAAGAGGUAAGUGGAACUGCGAGUGUAGAGGUGAAAUUCGUAGAUAUUCGCAAGAACACCAGUGGCGAAGGCGGCUUACUGGUCCGGUUCUGACGCUGAGGCGCGAAAGCGUGGGGAGCAAACAGG
Molecule: ribosomal RNA, 253 nt
Filed under: uncultured bacterium
Lineage: Bacteria
Description: partial 16S ribosomal RNA
Rfam family: Bacterial small subunit ribosomal RNA
Source: RNAcentral